This 613-nucleotide long non-coding RNA is filed under the name Triticum aestivum (bread wheat). Its description in RNAcentral is "long non-coding RNA (TAES_LNC002661)". Lineage: Eukaryota; Viridiplantae; Streptophyta; Magnoliopsida; Poales; Poaceae. The record is from RNAcentral.
AAAAAUUAAUAAAAUACCAUGUUAUAAAGACAAAGAAUAAAUACAUGCAUCAGAUGAGAUCAAAAUACUGCCCCAUAUGCUGCAUCCAAUGUUCUUUUCAUCAAGUUCUCGUCUCCUUGAUGACUCAAUGAUCAUCAAUUUACUCAAUCCUCCCACGACUUGCAAAACACAUCUGCUAGUAUUAGAAUUUGAAAUAUACAGAAUAUUAAGCAUGAAAAGUUGGACAAAUUAAAUAAGUUAGCUUGUACCUUUUCUAACCGAAUGAUAUAUAUUUGGUGCUUCCCAGCCUCUUAACUGAAGAUUGACCCGCAGAUGCCAUGUCUAUUUCUCCCUGGCAGCAACUUCAACAGGUCAGCAGCAAGGAAACUUCAUUCUUUAGAAAAUUAUAGUUGCGUACAGCAAAGGCCAUGGCCCGGUGCCCAGCAGCAGCUAGCAAGCACGCACACGAGCACACCACAAGUACGUACACACAGACACACACAGCAACAGGCACGCACGCCGCACGCGGAAGCAAGAGCACACACAGCCAACACACAAGCAAACGCGGGAGGACCGGACGCGAGGAUAGCAGGGAAUGGAGAAGGUGGACGGGAUACCUUGAUGGCGGCGUCGG